This 253-nucleotide ribosomal RNA is filed under the name uncultured bacterium. RNAcentral's name for it is "partial 16S ribosomal RNA". It matches the Rfam family "Bacterial small subunit ribosomal RNA", at positions 524 to 776 of the family's 1533-position model. The record is from RNAcentral.
UACGUAGGGGGCGAGCGUUGUCCGGAUUUAUUGGGCGUAAAGAGCGUGUAGGCGGUUCGGGAAGUCUGUCGUGAAAUCCUGAGGCUCAACCUCGGGCGUGCGAUGGAUACUGCCGGGCUAGAGGGUGGUAGAGGCGAGUGGAAUUCCCGGUGUAGCGGUGAAAUGCGCAGAUAUCGGGAGGAACACCAGUAGCGAAGGCGGCUCGCUGGGCCACACCUGACGCUGGGACGCGAAAGCUAGGGGAGCGAACAGG